Molecule: ribosomal RNA, 301 nt
Filed under: uncultured bacterium
Lineage: Bacteria
Description: partial 16S ribosomal RNA
Rfam family: Bacterial small subunit ribosomal RNA
Source: RNAcentral
CAGUAGCCGCGGUAAAACGUAGGGUGCGAGCGUUAAUCGGAAUUACUGGGCGUAAAGCGUGCGCAGGCGGUUCGUUAAGACAGAUGUGAAAUCCCCGGGCUUAACCUGGGAACUGCAUUUGUGACUGGCGAGCUAGAGUAUGGCAGAGGGGGGUAGAAUUCCACGUGUAGCAGUGAAAUGCGUAGAGAUGUGGAGGAAUACCGAUGGCGAAGGCAGCCCCCUGGGCUAAUACUGACGCUCAUGCACGAAAGCGUGGGGAGCAAACAGGAUUAGAUACCCCGGUAGUCCCUGUCUCUUAUAC